RNAcentral lists this ribosomal RNA (400 nucleotides) under uncultured bacterium. RNAcentral describes it as "bacterial SSU rRNA". It matches the Rfam family "Bacterial small subunit ribosomal RNA", at positions 355 to 752 of the family's 1533-position model. The record is from RNAcentral.
UAGGGAAUAUUGGGCAAUGGCCGCAAGGCUGACCCAGCCAUGCCGCGUGCAGGAAGACGGCCCUCUGGGUUGUAAACUGCUUUUGCCGGGGAAGAAAAGGGGCCUUGCGAGGCCCUCUGACGGUACCCGGCGAAUCAGCCACGGCUAACUACGUGCCAGCAGCCGCGGUAAUACGUAGGUGGCAAGCGUUGUCCGGAUUUAUUGGGUUUAAAGGGUGCGUAGGUGGGAGCUUAAGUCCGUGGUGAAAGACGAUCGCUCAACGAUUGCAGUGCCAUGGAUACUGAGUUUCUUGAAUGACGUUGAGGUGGGCGGAAUUGACCGUGUAGCGGUGAAAUGCUUAGAUAUGGUCAAGAACCCCGAUUGCGUAGGCAGCUCACUGGACGUUGAUUGACACUGAGGC